GGAUCUUGGGAAGGGAUUCCCGGCUGCGCUGGAAUUCCCAGGGAAUGCCCGGCUGCCCCUGGAUCCCACCUGGGGUAUCCAAGGAUGGAUUUGAACCACCCUGGCAUCGUGGCAGCUAUCGGGCUUGGAUCGGAAUUCUUCGGGAUUGAAGGUCCUUUCCCACCCAAACCAUUCCGGAAUGGGGGAAUGCCAACCUCCCCUCAGUCCGGCAGCCCGGUGGGAGCAGCCGGAAUCCCAAAUCCCGGGAAUUACGCACCACGUCGAUGAGCUGGGCGAUGGAGAGGCCGAAGCGGACGAUGACCACGUCGGAAGUGUUGGGAACGGGCCGGGACCAGCGGUUGUAUCCGAAAAAAGGCGCUUGAAGAGCCGAUCCUCCGCGUGGCUCCCGCGCUGGCCGCCGGCUGUGGAUCCAGAAGGAAACGAAGCCCAUCCCAGCCUGGCUCGCGGGAAACCGGGAAUUCACAACUCCCCUCCCUCUUCCCGAAGUUUUUGAGGAAUUCCAGGAAGUCCAGGGAAAAACGGAGCCGUCCUUACCCGCCCGGAAGCCGGAAAAUCCCCCUUGGAAAUGGCGCCAAGGAAGCUCAGCGGGAACGGCCCCGGCGAGGGAAUUCC
Molecule: long non-coding RNA, 612 nt
Organism: Corvus hawaiiensis (hawaiian crow)
Lineage: Eukaryota; Metazoa; Chordata; Aves; Passeriformes; Corvidae
Exons: 3
Source: RefSeq, a predicted model, not a curated record